Manis pentadactyla (Chinese pangolin) is the source of this 3092-nucleotide long non-coding RNA. RefSeq lists it as uncharacterized. NCBI's taxonomy places the organism in Eukaryota, Metazoa, Chordata, Mammalia, Pholidota, Manidae. The record is from RefSeq and is a predicted model, not a curated record. The transcript has 3 exons.
CAUGUUACAGGUGAGAAGACACCAGCAGUUGCAGCUGGAACUGGAAUGCACAAUGCCGGCUUCCCUUGAGCAAAACAGCUCACCCCAAGGUCCUCUUCCAUCACCAGGAGACCCUGCAGCCUGCCCAUCCAGAGAACUACAGAGGGAGGAUGAGAUCUCACUCUGGCCUCUCCAGAAUUGGCAACCUCCUGGCUCCCCCACACGCCCAACCAUCUGACAGGUUUUGCCUCCAGCUUACAUUCCUUGUGAUGGGGGCAUGCUGAUACCUGCUUGGUUGAGCGACAGAAGAUAAUCAGGUGAGAAAAGUUUGCUAAAGAUAGUUUACAAUGUGCUGAAAUCAUAGAAACAAAGGUGCUUAGAGCAUCCAAAUGAGAACAUAUAUGGGAAAGCAUUUUGCACAGGAUAAAGAACUCUAUAAAACAAGGCAUAAUACUAGUAAUAACCACUCUCCAUUUGACCCUGCUAAGUAUGCUCAGCCAUUGUGGCGAUAGAGGUGGACUGCUUUGAAGCUGUACAUUUUAGGGUGUCAAUUUCCUUUUCACUACUGACACGAUACUCCCUCUAAGUAGAGUAAAACACAGUAAACUAAGACAAUAAAUAAAAGCGGUAUGUUAAAAAAAAAAACACCAUGCCAAGUUGGAUCUCUUUUUAAUGUUAAGCAGUUAGCAAACCUGAAAAUUGUAUUUCUGAUUGGCCUCUUCAUCCAAGCCCAGUUGUUUACAGGUAAGGUAAUGUCUAGCAUGUUGGGGUCUCAUAGCUGUGUUAGAAUCUCCCAUGUUCUUGGUUUUCCAAUGGGGAGUCAGGCUUAGUAAAUUAAUUUUCAGGAGCUGAAAGCUUUAUUUAAGAGUUGGACCCAACUUAAAUAUUUGACUAGUCUUAAGAAUAGAAGAUUAAAGCACAAUUCAUGAAUUUGCAGAUAGUUCUUCUAUAAUUUUGGGAGGGUACCAAAUGCUUUUUUAAAAAAUUUCUGUACAAAUCUACUGGGUUUCCUGCCUGUGGACACUCAAGGGACACACUAUAAGCAUGUGGCUUCAUAUACACUUGCUGGGAGCAAAAGGCAAGGAAAGGGAUGGUUUAUUUGGGGUCAGUCACAUGAACAGUGCUGGGGCUCCCGAUAGAGUUCAAGGGUAGAUUUCUUUUUAAUUGUAGUAAAAUACACACGACAAAAUUUCCAUGUGAACCCUUUUGAAGUGGCAUAGGUCUGUUCACAGUGUUGUGUAGCCAUCAACAUUCUUUAUCUCCAGAUUUUUAUCACCUCAUACAGAAACUCUUACUAACUCAUUAAAUAAUAACUCCCCAAAUCCUCUUACCCCUGUCCUUGGUAACCUCUAUUCUAUUUUCUGUCUCUGUGAAUUUGCCUAUUCAAGGUAUUUUAUAUAAAGUGGAAUCAUACAAUACUUGUCCUUUAUGUCUGGCUUCUUUCUAGUAUAACACUGAGAUAUAAUGAGUCAUAAGAAAUACAUAUUUGGUCAUUCACAUGAUCAAAUAUAUAUUUCCCAGGUAUAUUUGGUCUUCAUCCACAGUUCCUGAAAACACUGCAGAGUCUUUAAAGUGAAAUGGGUGUUUUUCCAUGUUAAUAAGAGACUUUUGGACGCCUACCCAAGGGCAGGGGCUGGAGGUUGAAUCAGCCAAUGGCAAAUAAUUGAGUCGAUCAUGAACAUGCGAUGAAGCCCUCCCCAAAAUCCCUGAGAAGAGCUUGUUGCUCUCGCUUGGCUCAGUUGGAUCCUGUUUCUCUGUCGGGGGGAGAGGGCUUCUAAGCGUGGGGAACCAGAACGCCCCCACAUGCCCCCAAGCCAGGCCCCAAACUCCGUAAGGACAAGCUCUCUUAUUUGGGACCUUGCCCUGUGUCUCUCUUCAUCUGGCUGUUAACUUGUAUCCUUUAGGAAACUGGCAAACCUAAGUGCUUUCCUGAGUUCUGUGAGCCGCUCUAGCAAAUUAAUCGAACCUAAAGGGGGAGGUCGUGGGAACCUCCAAUCCGUAGCCGGUAGGUCAGAAGCACAGGUAGCAGCCUGGGGUUUGCGACAGCCGUCUGGAGUGGGGUGGAGGGCCGUCUUGUAGGACGGAGCCCCUAACCUGGGGAAUCUGGUGCUGUUUCCGGGCAGAUAGCAUCAGAAUCGAGCUGAGUUCUUGGACACCCUGCCGGUAUUCGAGAAUUGCCUGGCGUUAGUAUGUGUGGGAAGACCCCCCUCCCACAUACUUACACAUGUGGAAUUGGGUCUGGGAACCUGAACAGAGUUAUACUACUAUUACUGCUGUGCAUGACAUUGUUAUUGUUAUAUAUAUGUAGGAAAAGACUACACCCUUGCAGAUAUUUUCCAGGUUCAUCCAUGUAGCAGCGUAUGUCGGAAGCUUGGCUUUUGAUGUGGCAGUUCUAUGGAGGCAGAGACAUCACAGAGACAAGAGAAGGAAGGGCCUCCAAAGUGUCUGUAUCCGGAUCCUUGAGCACCUGUGAUUAGAAAGGGCACACAGGUCCCACCAACUGACCAGUGCUUGAGUGGCUCAGGGUCUCAGCCUGCCCAGGGCUUACUUGGCCAAGAGCUUCCUGAAUUUGUUCCUGGCAAGUUGAGCUUUGCUAUCCAUCUUCUCCUCCAUGGAGCUGGGUGUACUUGGCCAAGGGCUCAGAUGGCAAGAGACCCAGGCUUGGUUGAUCCAGGGCAGAUCCUCACCACGAGGCUAGCAAUGCAAAUAUCUUCCGUUGCCCUAGCACAGAGGGAAACAUAGCAGCCCGUUCCUCAGACUGGGCUUGUUUGCACUCCUGAAAAGACUGUCACAGAGUCAGAUUCAUUCUGACCAUGAGGCAAUCGCAUGAGUUCUUGCCCAUAAGCCUGGUAAAUCGUUUGGGCUGGUCACCACGAGACCAUCCUGUGCCACCUGGAUACUACCUGCACUAGUGGAAAACUUCUCCAAGCUUCCCAGUCAUCCUGGUCUAAGACAUCUGCAGUAGACCCCACCAGGUAGUCCUUGAUGAAGGACUUGAACCCAUUCACCAGCUGGUCAGGAGUAACGUUAAGAGCUGGGGUCAUCAGGAGACCUGAAGUUCAAGGUCAUAUUUUCUAAAGUCUAAGAUCUAGGGGUUACUGCAUCCUUGCUGU